GUUACAUUGCAAUGCAAGUAUCGUCUAUUAGGACUACAUCAAUUUCCUAGAAAAUGAAACAUUUUAAAGCAUAUAAAUUUCUAAAAUUCUGUGAACUGUCUUCACUCUCCUCCAAGUACCAAAGAUCAGCAUAAAUUAUCCAAGGAUCCAAGUAAUCACCUAGUAUUGAACUUCUCAUCAACCUAUAAAGAAAAAAGCAUAAUACUAUUCAGUUAUAAAUUCGAAAUUUGAAGUCUAAAAAUAUACAUGCUAUGCAUUCUACGGAAAGGAUCUACAUAAAAAUACCACGUGUCCAAGAGAAGAUGUUUCGGAGAACAGACAUAAGCAUAUGUAUGUCUUACACAUAACUUAGUAGAGUUCAGAUUAAGACACUAAUGACGUGUUUGGUUCGCAGAAAAAUAGCGGUUUCUGAUUUCAAUGCUUCCUGAAACCAUACCAUUCACCUGCAAUGUCUUUUAUAGCUGUGGUUUCUGAUACAGGACUUCACAAAACUAAAAAUGCCCAGAUCGAAGCUGAUUGGAAAACUGAAACAUAUCUGCACCAACCAAAUGAAGCGUGUUUUCCAUAGAGCCAAUCGGAAGCAAAGCUUCCCAAUACGAUAAAAUCAAUAUGUUUCUGGAGCCGAACGAGAUGUGUCGCAGGCAUCUUUGAUCAAUCGGAUGUGCCUAGUCACUAUCAACAACCAUCAACAUGUAUUUACUACUAACAAUUAUCCAAAGAUUGUAUUAUAUUAAUAAUGAGAUGAAUUCAACAACCAACUAGGUGGUAAGUACUUAGAUAACAAUAAUAUCGACUAAAGAAUUGUAUUUCUUUUUUCCAAAGGACUCUGCACUAAUUAGUUUUGCUUUCUAUGAUGUAUUAAGAGAGAAAAUAUCGAUGCCAUCAGCUUGAAAACCGUCACACAAAACUGCGUAGUUACCUGAGAACUACAACUUCGGACAUUAGAAAUUUUCAAUCCAUGAGUGCAUUCUCAGAACCUGUAGAGGGAACAACAUGAAAAAGGAACACAUCAUCAGAUUUGGGGCAGUUGGCAUUGUUAACUGUGAAAUGGAAAAGGGGUGUUGUUGGAUAACUUUCUAAUCCACUCUGCUUGCCAUCAUGCCUGGCCUGAGCCCCUGACGCAGCCUUGCUGGAUAGCAUGAUCUAAUUAUUACAGACAAGAUCAUGCCCUAAUUAGAAGAGAGGACAUGAGAGAAUAAUUCAUUAGAAGUUAGGAAAGAUAAAUCGGAGGAACCAUACUAUACUGAGCCGCUAUAGGAAGUUUGGUUCCACUCUUACCGCAACACCACCACAAU
This 1295-nucleotide long non-coding RNA is filed under the name Triticum aestivum (bread wheat). Its description in RNAcentral is "long non-coding RNA (TAES_LNC001701)". Lineage: Eukaryota; Viridiplantae; Streptophyta; Magnoliopsida; Poales; Poaceae. The record is from RNAcentral.